UAAUUUGUCAGACUAUUGGCUGAUGGAGCUGCUGCCCAGAACCUUUGCUCUCUGCUGAGGCCAGAGUCCUAUUAACCUUCCCGCUGAUGUCACCAGGCUGGGAAGCUGCUGGCUUCGGGACAGGUUUCCUCUAAGCAUGACAGUAGAUGAGGUGUGCACAGCCAGCCCUGGAGUAGGUGAGAGUCGUUCGAAUGUCAGGCUAGGUUCGGUUGUGCUGCAAUUAGUGCAAGUGCUUCUGAACUCUCAUGUCUGCUCCACAUAAAGAUGGAUCUAAGAGCGCGGGCAUCGUUCCCCACAGUCAUCUCUAUGCAGGUACGAGGGGAGCUCUUCUGGUGGUGCAGCCCAGCAGCCUUGACGAUGGGCGAAAAAAAACCCCAAAAAACUAUUUGAUAAAUGUCAAAAGAAAUAAAGUAAUCAGCUGAAAGCAAUUUGCUGAGCCGUGUAACCGCCUUGGGCUUACCAUUUUCCUUUAUUCAUUUAUCAUGAUAGACGCUUUCGGCCAAAAUACACAAAGCAGAGAAAUUGUUGACAUGUGGGGCCCAAGUAUAGAAAAUCUUUCAUUCCCGCCCCCGCCCCCUGCUCUGUGCACAAAAUAACUUUCCUUUUUUUUUUUUUUUUUGGGUUGUUUAUUUAAA
This is a long non-coding RNA of Malaclemys terrapin pileata, 635 nucleotides long. RefSeq lists it as uncharacterized. The transcript has 2 exons. The record is from RefSeq and is a predicted model, not a curated record. NCBI's taxonomy places the organism in Eukaryota, Metazoa, Chordata, Testudines, Emydidae.